This 601-nucleotide long non-coding RNA is filed under the name Mytilus galloprovincialis (Mediterranean mussel). The record is from RNAcentral. Lineage: Eukaryota; Metazoa; Mollusca; Bivalvia; Mytilida; Mytilidae.
UGGUGGGUUGAACCUGGUUUUGUGGCAUGCCAAACCUCGCACUUUAAUGGCAAUGUUAAAUAUAACAUAGAAAUGACAACAUAAUAUUAUAGGACUACAAUACAAAUAAAUAGGAAAACGUAUUAGACAAAGAAACACAUGAUUAAUGAAUAACAAAAAGCAUCAGGUUUAAAAUUUAAUACGCCAAAAAACGCGCCUCGUCCACACAAGACUCACCAGUGACGCCCAGAUAUAAAAGAUCGAAAGCGAAAAAAAUUACAAAGUUGUACAGCACUGAAGAUCAAAAGUUGAAAAAGGUUGUGUCAAAUACGGCUAAGUUUGUAUGCUUGGGAUAAGAACAUACUAAUUAUUUAGAACAAUUAAUGCUAUUGCAAACAGUAAAUUUUAUCAAAUGAAUAUAACAGAUAUACAUAAUGAAACUGAAGUAUUAACUCAUUACAUAAAACAAACACGAAUACAUAAUGAAUGACCAACACAGAAUAGACACACCCGACUCAGUCCAGGCCUCAACGCAGUAAAUUAUGAAAAUGACGUCACAUACGACGGUGAAAAGGCAUUAAAAAUUACGUCACAUACGAUGGUGAAAAGGCAUUAAAAAUUU